CCUGCGCAUACUCUCGCUCUCGCACUCGCACUCCCUUCAGGUCCGCCAGCUGCGGCGCCACCGCCGCCCAGCCCCACGGAACUCCUUUGGCACCAUGUCUUCGCCUCCUGAAGAGAAACUAGAGACUAAAGCUACCCGCCCGCAGUCCUCUUGCUCAGCCAGUCAAGCAGUCUGCAAGAUCUUCUAUAUGGGUGCAGCUUCUUCAGAGACCCUCAGCUCUACACCACCAUGUGAGUGAAAGCUGGUGGAAUGUGGAUCAUGUAGAAACACCCACAUUCUGGAGACACCAAGGAAGAAAGAGACAAG
Molecule: non-coding RNA, 306 nt
Organism: Urocitellus parryii (Arctic ground squirrel)
Lineage: Eukaryota; Metazoa; Chordata; Mammalia; Rodentia; Sciuridae
Source: RefSeq, a predicted model, not a curated record